GCUUACGGCCACACCACCCUGAGCGCGCCCGAUCUCGUUCUGAUCUCGGAAGCUAAGCAGGGUCGGGCCUGGUUAGUACUUGGAUGGGAGACCGCCUGGGAAUACCAGGUGCCGUAAGCU
This 120-nucleotide ribosomal RNA is filed under the name Lates calcarifer (barramundi perch). The record is from RNAcentral. Lineage: Eukaryota; Metazoa; Chordata; Actinopteri; Centropomidae.